AUCGCUGCGCUCCCACGACGCUCGUGCACAAUAAAAGGCCCGGCUGCACGAGCGCCAACACACACUAGGUUACCUCCGUUAUGACGUAGGAGCAGCUCGGAGGACGAGCUCCGCCUGCUGGACCCACACGCUUGGUGAACUGGAGGUGGGAGCGCGGACCGGCGCCAGACGUCCUUGAGUCCGACCCUGUUAGAAAACCUUGCCGUCGGGCGUCCUGUGGCCCAGCGCUCAUUACUGCUGCAAGGAUCUUGGGUGACUCUUUAAAGAUGCUUAAAAAUUAAAUGUACCCUGUAUUAGAACAAAACACUGUGAUUCUUUCAGUGCAUUAAAAGUUUUAACAGAUAAAAAUGCACCUCUCAAAAUAUUAC
RNAcentral lists this long non-coding RNA (368 nucleotides) under Betta splendens (Siamese fighting fish). Its description in RNAcentral is "lncRNA (ENSBSLG00000022457.1)". The record is from RNAcentral. Lineage: Eukaryota; Metazoa; Chordata; Actinopteri; Anabantiformes; Osphronemidae.